RNAcentral lists this transfer RNA (74 nucleotides) under Alphaproteobacteria bacterium GM7ARS4. RNAcentral's name for it is "tRNA-Arg". It matches the Rfam family "tRNA". Rfam says of the family: Transfer RNA (tRNA) molecules are approximately 80 nucleotides in length. Their secondary structure includes four short double-helical elements and three loops (D, anti-codon, and T loops). Further hydrogen bonds mediate the characteristic L-shaped molecular structure. tRNAs have two regions of fundamental functional importance: the anti-codon, which is responsible for specific mRNA codon recognition, and the 3' end, to which the tRNAs corresponding amino acid is attached (by aminoacyl-tRNA synthetases). tRNAs cope with the degeneracy of the genetic code in two manners: having more than one tRNA (with a specific anti-codon) for a particular amino acid; and 'wobble' base-pairing, i.e. permitting non-standard base-pairing at the 3rd anti-codon position. The record is from RNAcentral. Lineage: Bacteria; Pseudomonadati; Pseudomonadota; Alphaproteobacteria.
GUCCCCGUAGCUCAGAUGGAUAGAGCGACAGCCUCCUAAGCCGUAGGUCGCAGGUUCGAAUCCUGUCGGGGACG